Molecule: non-coding RNA, 112 nt
Filed under: Geodermatophilus sp.
Lineage: Bacteria; Bacillati; Actinomycetota; Actinomycetes; Geodermatophilales; Geodermatophilaceae
Also listed under: 1 other name
Description: SAM-IV sequence
Rfam family: SAM (S-adenosyl methionine) riboswitch aptamer
About the family: SAM-IV is a mRNA element that regulates gene expression via direct sensing of S-adenosylmethionine (SAM or AdoMet). SAM-IV riboswitches share conserved nucleotide positions with the previously described SAM-I riboswitches sequence analysis and molecular recognition experiments suggest that SAM-I and SAM-IV riboswitches share similar ligand binding sites, but have different scaffolds.
Source: RNAcentral
GGUCCUGAGUACCAGCUGCAAGCCCCGGCUCGCUGGUCGGCAACCCUCCGCUGCGGUGGGGUGCCCCGGGUGACGACCUGGCGACGGCGAUCGACUGUCGCAAGCGCAGCCC